CUCCCAGACUGUGGAGUCAGUCCCCUGACUGUCCCUGCCUGUGCGAGACAGCAGGACCCAGAAGGAGGAGGAGGAGGGCAGGCUGGACAGAGUCACCCGCCCUGGGCAUCCAGCAGGGAACAAAGCCUCCACUCCACCGCUGGCCUGUCCCCAGCAGCCUGGACACCCAGGCCUAGAAACUCCAAGGGCUGAGGCCCUCAGAAGCUUUCUGAUCUCCAUGGCAACGGCCCUGCUGCGCUGCUCAGCUUCCAGUAAACCUCACCAGCAGCUCCCAGAGCCCAGAGCCACAUGGCUGACCACCCACAGCAGCACCUAGCUCAGCACCAACCCUGUCUUCCUGGGACUGGGCCACAGUGUGCAGGGGACAUUGCCUUCCUCCUGGUGGCUUUCAGCCACCGGCUGGUACCUGCUUCUUCAAUGAGGCCCAAAUAUUCAUCACAGAGAAGUGCGGCUGUGGUCUUCUAACCACCCUUUCCCACAUCACUGCCAGUGCCACUCGGAGCCUGUGGCCACCUUGGAAACCUGCCGGUUCCUGUCUCCCCUCCCGCCCCACAGUGAAAGCUACCAUAGCUCCAUCUGCUGCUGGUGUGGCCCUUUUCCCCCUCCUCCAUCCACCUCUCCUGGCUGUCACCCUCCUUCCUGUGGUCCCCUCCACCCUCUCCAUUCCUGUCUUCGGUUCCUCGCCACUGAGAAGGUGUCCUUGACACAAGGCCUCUGCAUGGGCGCCUCUGGGCUUGGAACGCCACACCUGCACUGCUCCCUCAGCUCCUUCUGUUCAGUCAGGACCCCAGGACCCCAUCACCCUGCUAUCCAAACAGGCUUCCCUCCCCCCAGUCACUCCUGCCUACCCAUCCCCACACUUCUGUGCUUCCCAACACCUGUCCAGGUCCAUCGCAUCUUACAUAAUGCCUGCUUUCUUGUUUUGUCUGCUUCCUUUACAAGAAGGUAGGCUCCUGAAAGGUAGCAGCAUGACUGAUGACCACCAGUGUCGCGGUCAGCUUUCCUAUCACCAAAACACAGUGCUAGGCACUCACAGCUGAAAGGAGAAAAGGUCUAACUAGCCACAUCAGAGGAGCCAGUCCAUGGGUUAGCUGAGUCAAAAGCAGAAACAUGGUGGAUGGGACCCAAUGGAGCAGAUACUUAGUUUAUGGUGGCCAGAAAGCAGAGCAGGGGCAGCACCAGACAGGACAGGUCAGCGAUCUCCUAAGGUACAGCGCCUAAGAUCGUGCUCCCGUGACCCGACCAGACACAGCCAGAGUGUCCUUCUAAGUCCUCUAGGUGGCUUGCAAGGCAAUCAGGUCGACAAUCCAGUUUAACUGUCGUGUCACCUGGUAGAGAGUCCCGAACUCUGCAUUUGGGGAAGGAAAGAAAGCAAAAUAUGGACUUGAAGUCAGUGUUCUGCUUUCCAUUUUCCUGGAAAUGUUCUGCAAGACUCAAAGUCAAACCUAAUCUCUGAGAUGAACCAGGCCUCAAGAUUGGGACACUGAGAAGAUGAAACUAAAUUUCCUCUCACACGGCCUCAUGGAGCUGGACAGUCCAGGCUGCAGGAUGCUCUGCUUUGCAUGAUAAGAGAUCCCAACUCUCCCCCCCCACCCCGAGCCAUUCCUCCACCCUGCAGGGCCACACUCCUCAGUGUCGUAGACUGGGUCACCAUCCCAACUGGGUGGCAGCCCAUGGGAGGGAGGAAGAGCACAUGUGGGAGGAGCCACACCCACUGGAGACAGGAGACGGAGGUCUCACGCAGUGCCCAUGCUUCACGGGGCCACAAGGGAGGUUGCAAAGCAGCCCCAAGAGCUGCAUGGCCUCGUGGCCAGGAAGGAAGGAGAGAGAACAUGCCACGGGCCCUGGGCUCCUCGGGUAACAGCCUAUGCAAACGCGGUCUUCCCCGACCCUGCACUGCUAGUAGGUACCAAGGUGAGCAACACAACACAAGCGUGUCAGCAUGGAGCAGCCCCCUCUCUUCCUCCUCACCUUUGAUGCUGAGAACAUAGCCGGAUGCAUUGCUGUGCUAGUACCUUGAUUCUCCCAUUCUGUUCUGCGCUCACCAUGCAAGAACAUGCAAAAAGCACUUGACCUGCAGGGCAUGGUGGGGCAGUCCUGUAGUCCCAGCUAACACAGAGGCUGAGGCUUGAGGAUCACAAGUUUGAGGCCAACCUGGAAAACUCAGAGAGACUUUGUCUCAAAAUAAAAGUAAAAAGCGGAGGGCUGGGUCCUAGCUCAGUGGUGGAGCCCUGGUGUAGCACAGCCAAGUUGCUAGGCUCAGUCUGAAAAAUAAUAAGAAAUAAAAUGCAAUUGACCCGG
Cavia porcellus (domestic guinea pig) is the source of this 2301-nucleotide long non-coding RNA. RefSeq lists it as uncharacterized. The record is from RefSeq and is a predicted model, not a curated record. The transcript has 2 exons. NCBI's taxonomy places the organism in Eukaryota, Metazoa, Chordata, Mammalia, Rodentia, Caviidae.